GCCCCCGUGGCCUAAUGGCUAAGGCGUAAGACUUCGUACGUCCAAGUUUGACUCUCAGCCUCUCCACCGCACUCGCUAAUUGCUCCCGUAGUAUCAUGACAUCUUAAGAUUGCGGGUUCGAGUCCCGCCGGGGGUU
RNAcentral lists this transfer RNA (136 nucleotides) under Metarhizium album ARSEF 1941. It matches the Rfam family "tRNA". Rfam says of the family: Transfer RNA (tRNA) molecules are approximately 80 nucleotides in length. Their secondary structure includes four short double-helical elements and three loops (D, anti-codon, and T loops). The record is from Rfam by way of RNAcentral. Lineage: Eukaryota; Fungi; Ascomycota; Sordariomycetes; Hypocreales; Clavicipitaceae.